AUAAAUUUGAGAGAGGAGUU
Molecule: unclassified non-coding RNA, 20 nt
Filed under: Tequintavirus T5
Lineage: Duplodnaviria; Heunggongvirae; Uroviricota; Caudoviricetes; Demerecviridae
Description: Escherichia virus T5 partial miscellaneous RNA
Source: RNAcentral